UGGUGGUCCGUUCCAGUUCUACGUCAUCAGCACGUCAAUCCUUUUGUAGCUGUAGUUCUGACAUUUCCGCAAGGAGGCGCUUGUCCACAUUGCUCACCACCUCCAUCAUGGCUGCCGUCAGAAAAGUCAUCGAUGCCAUCAAAGAUUUAUACCAAAAUCCCUUCAAAAGGUCCUUGAUCGUGAACUUCAGCCUGUUCGUGGCGGGGGUGUGGGCAGCCAGGAACCUGAGCGACUUUGACCCCAUGGCUCCUCCACAGCCGGCUGUGACAGCAUAGCCGUAGUCUGGAGCGUAAUGGGCUUCGUAGUUAGCAUUUUCAAGGCAAAUAAUUUUUGAAGAGGAACUGGUGACAGAAGAGGGAAAGCAGCAAAUGUUACUCUUCCACUGGAGACAUCAAUGGAACUGAAUUUGUUACCAUCCUAUGAAGCAAGAUUUCUUGUACUUUUGGUUUAUUUUAGUGUCACAUGAAGAAACAGUUGCACCCCUAAUCUGGAUUUCCUUUGACAGGAAGUCAAAUGUCUCAGUUGUUUUAUACUGUAUUUCAUUAGAUGAGAUAUUUAUUGGAAGCAUUGACCAUAAGUCCACAAUACCAUGAGAAUUUAGGAUCACAACUUGGCUCUUCCAGCGGACCUUCCCUAUCCACAGCCAGUCUCAUUCUGAUCUGGCCUAAGCUGAGGCUACAUUGUACAUGUAUAUGGGUCAGUCCUACAUUGUAGUUUCAAAGAUCAGUUCCAAAAUAAAUGCAGUAGCAACUAGAGAGCAACAAACACCCACACACGACACGUAUGUAACAAACGCGAUGCUGAACUCCCCACAUGAUUAAUGCAUAACUGUCAUAUCUUGAAGACAGCUUUGAUAAUCAUUCCAUGUUUCAGUACCAAUAAAACAACUCAUGACUUGAA
Long non-coding RNA from Branchiostoma floridae (Florida lancelet), 900 nucleotides. RefSeq lists it as uncharacterized. The record is from RefSeq and is a predicted model, not a curated record. Lineage: Eukaryota; Metazoa; Chordata; Leptocardii; Amphioxiformes; Branchiostomatidae. The transcript is spliced from 3 exons.